UUUUAUGGAGAGUUUGAUCCUGGCUCAGGAUGAACGCUGGCGGCGUGCCUAAUACAUGCAAGUCGAGCGAACAGACGAGGAGCUUGCUCCUCUGACGUUAGCGGCGGACGGGUGAGUAACACGUGGAUAACCUACCUAUAAGACUGGGAUAACUUCGGGAAACCGGAGCUAAUACCGGAUAAUAUAUUGAACCGCAUGGUUCAAUAGUGAAAGACGGUUUUGCUGUCACUUAUAGAUGGAUCCGCGCCGCAUUAGCUAGUUGGUAAGGUAACGGCUUACCAAGGCAACGAUGCGUAGCCGACCUGAGAGGGUGAUCGGCCACACUGGAACUGAGACACGGUCCAGACUCCUACGGGAGGCAGCAGU
RNAcentral lists this ribosomal RNA (366 nucleotides) under Staphylococcus epidermidis NIHLM057. Its description in RNAcentral is "bacterial SSU rRNA". It matches the Rfam family "Bacterial small subunit ribosomal RNA", at positions 1 to 355 of the family's 1533-position model. Lineage: Bacteria; Bacillati; Bacillota; Bacilli; Caryophanales; Staphylococcaceae. The record is from RNAcentral.